Molecule: ribosomal RNA, 483 nt
Filed under: uncultured bacterium
Lineage: Bacteria
Description: partial 16S ribosomal RNA
Rfam family: Bacterial small subunit ribosomal RNA
Source: RNAcentral
AUUGAACGCUGGCGGCAGGCCUAACACAUGCAAGUCGAGCGGAUGAAGGGAGCUUGCUCCCGGAUUCAGCGGCGGACGGGUGAGUAAUGCCUAGGAAUCUGCCUGGUAGUGGGGGAUAACGUCCGGAAACGGGCGCUAAUACCGCAUACGUCCUGAGUGAGAAAGUGGGGGAUCUUCGGACCUCACGCUAUCAGAUGAGCCUAGGUCGGAUUAGCUAGUUGGUGGGGUAAAGGCCUACCAAGGCGACGAUCCGUAACUGGUCUGAGAGGAUGAUCAGUCACACUGGAACUGAGACACGGUCCAGACUCCUACGGGAGGCAGCAGUGGGGAAUAUUGGACAAUGGGCGAAAGCCUGAUCCAGCCAUGCCGCGUGUGUGAAGAAGGUCUUCGGAUUGUAAAGCACUUUAAGUUGGGAGGAAGGGCAGUAAGUUAAUACCUUGCUGUUUUGACGUUACCAACAGAAUAAGCACCGGCUAACUUCGU